RNAcentral lists this ribosomal RNA (465 nucleotides) under uncultured bacterium. Its description in RNAcentral is "partial 16S ribosomal RNA". It matches the Rfam family "Bacterial small subunit ribosomal RNA", at positions 338 to 795 of the family's 1533-position model. The record is from RNAcentral.
CCUACGGGAGGCUGCAGUGGGGAAUAUUGCGCAAUGGGCGAAAGCCUGACGCAGCGACGCCGCGUGAGGGAUGAAGGUCUUCGGAUCGUAAACCUCUGUCAGCAGGGAAGAACGGUCACUGUGCUAAUCAGCAGUGAAUUGACGGUACCUGCAAAGGAAGCACCGGCUAACUCCGUGCCAGCAGCCGCGGUAAUACGGAGGGUGCGAGCGUUAAUCGGAAUUACUGGGCGUAAAGCGCUCGUAGGCGGUAUGUCAAGUCAAGGGUGAAAUCCCCGGGCUCAACGUGGGAACGGCCUUUGAAACUGGCAAACUGGAGUGUGUGAGAGGGUGGUGGAAUUCCAGGUGUAGGAGUGAAAUGCGUAGAUAUCUGGAGGAACAUCAGUGGCGAAGGCGACUAUCUGGCACAUAACUGACGCUGAGGAGCGAAAGCGUGGGUAGCAAACAGGAUUAGAUACCCUUGUAGUC